AAAGAAUCUUCUGAUCACAUACAAUCUGAUUCUUUAAGAGGGGAAAAAAUAAUGUCUCACUACUUCAACACAAUAAUUCUCGAAGUAUUUAUGUUGUUUCUGCUGAUACAAAUUCUUCAUCCUCUCAAGAACAAAAACACAAAUAUAAUAUUCAUGUAGAGGUACCUAACACUGGUCAGUCCUUAACCAAGGCGUCCUGUCUCACAGUUAAGAUUCCAGAACCCAGUGCCAAUUCUAAGCCCCCUAAUAACUCUGUUAUUAACAGAGUUAAAAUUGACACAGCAGCACCAAUUGAAUCUGUGAAGCAGGCAGUGU
Molecule: unclassified non-coding RNA, 315 nt
Filed under: Hevea brasiliensis (rubber tree)
Lineage: Eukaryota; Viridiplantae; Streptophyta; Magnoliopsida; Malpighiales; Euphorbiaceae
Source: RNAcentral